UUCAGGUGGAUCACAUUACUGCUCACUCAAGAAUUUGACUUGCAGUGCAUCUUAAGAAUUUGGGAUUCACUUCUGAGUAAUCCUUCUGGUGUUCAGGUCUCUCUCUCUCUCUCACACACACACACACACACACACCAAGAUUGACCAGACUUGAAGUAUCUGACGCUGUUGCUCAGCUAUCUUCAGGUGAUCCAGAUGCUUGAUGAUUAGUGGGAAACAAAACAUUUUUUUUGCAGGAUAUGCUUUUGCGGAUCUGUUGUGCAAUGUUGUUAUGUGUGAAAAGCAGGCUAUUAAGUGGGGAUUUUGCAGCUAACUUGAGGCUUUUGCAGCAUUAUCCUGAUAUCAACAUAGAAUACCUUCUUCAGUUAGCUCGGGAUCUGAGUCCUGACACUUAAUCCUGUCCCUUAUCGCUGUAAAUUAUCUCCAUCCUAUGUCAUUUCUAUGCAAAUUGUCCGUCUCUGCUUCUCUCUUAACAAACUUGGCAAUGACAGACAAGACUUGAGGAAUUGCUCUUGAGUUUCUGAAAAGCAAUCUUCCUUACCUUUGCAUCAUUUAUUUGGCCAGCACAAAUUGCCAUUCAAACAUUUCCUUAUCUAAUUUUUAUGCUGGCCAAAGAUUUGAAGAACAAAGGAUCCUUUGUUGUCAUGUUCACUGCACUGUGCAAACUGUCCUUUUUUUUUUUUUCUUUUUGGUUAAAUGGAAGACAAGUAGACUAUUUGUUUCAUGUGGAGAUGUGUUGCAUGAUUUUUUUCUAAUUUAUUUUUUUAAAAAUUCAUUAAUCUGUAUUUGAGACCCGAAUUCGUCGUAGUUUUAAGGUUGACUCUAAUACCAUUGAGGUAAAACUCAUUAGUUACUGUGUUCAUAUGGCUUCCAAUGUCGUAUUCUCCAUCAAAGUAAAAGAUCCCAUUGGAGCAGAAGUGAUGGGAAGAGCUUAAUUACCUGCCUGCUUCCCAACUUUUAAAUGGAAAAGAAGUGGAUACACGGCUUAGGAUCUUGAAUAAGAACCAUAAACCUCUACGUAAAGGUUCAAAGAUUCAUGUCAAAGCACAGUAAAGGAAGCAGCUGGUCUAAAGGAAUUGCAGGUCCUAAAUUUCCAGGCAUACUUUACACAUUCUUUCCCCAAUGAAGAGGUUGCAGAGUUGCCUUUAUCAAGAUACAUUACCACAAAUUUGGCCUACCAGCCAUAUCACUUGGGCACCAAGCAGCCAGCCAGGGGUCAAAUUCAUGGCUUCAGUAUGUCACUGUGGUACGAGCACAUGGGCAUGCUUGACGAGUCAUUCUAAGAACCUGAGUCCCUGGAAUGUGUCCAGAGGAUGAACCACAUUGCUAGUAAGUACUGGGACCUCUACUCCUGUGAGAAUUUUGAAGAUGACUUGCCAGGCUAUUUGCUUACUUAUCCCAUUGGAGUAGAGCUUCCUGAAACAUAUUUUUUUCCAGAUACACAGGCGCCUCAACCUGCCGUCUGUUAGGUAGAUAUCAGGGGUGAGGUUAUUUUCAAAUUAUUUAGUAAAUGUAUUUCGUUUUAUAAGAUAAUAAAUGCAUGAAGAUUUCAUAAUUUUAAAUAGUUAUAUUUUUAAAUAUUUUGAAAUACAUAAAAUAUAUAUAAACUAUUUAAUAUUGUAAAAAGUUUUAAUUUAUCGUUUUCAUAAAAUCAAUAGUUAUUAUUUAAAAUUAUUUAGUAAAUAUAUUUCAUUUUAUAAAAAAUAAAUAAUUAGUGAAAAAAUAGCAGUAAGUAUUCAAUUGUAGAUAAAAAUAUCAUAACUAUUUUUUUAUAUAAAACAUAAAUUGCAGUUUUUUAUAAUUUAUUCUAAUUUCUAACAGUAAAAGAAUUCCAAAGAGUGCACGCAUGCACUACUUCAGUUUCCACAUUUCACCUAACUCGGACUUCAUCGAAUUCUAGAAUAAUUUUUUGUUGCUGUUAUUUAUUUAUUUAAUAUAAAUUUUUUCUUUCAGUUAUAUCAAAACUAAUAAAUAUUUUUUACCAUAUUCAAAAUUACUGGUCCGAUUAAGAAAUAAACGUUUCUUUUUAUUUCUAAUGUUUAAUGGUUUAAUAUUAUACUCAAUCAAGUGACAUGUGUAUUUAAAUAAAUUUAAAAAAUUUUAGAUUUUACUUUCAAUUCUUAAUUUAUAUUUUAAAAAAAUAGUUUAAUAUUUUUUAAAAUAUUUUAUAUUUAAAAUUCAUUGAUCCAAUUUAAUCCUGAGAUCAAAUAAAGAGUUUAAAAUAUAUUUUAAUAAGUUUAGUUUGAUUUUAUUCUCUCUUUCUUCUAUUUUUUUUUUAUUCUCUAUCUGUUUGUAUUUGUAUUCUUAUACAUGAGACAGGUCUAAUUAUUAAAUUUUAAUAAAAAUGAUACUUAACCUUUCUAGUGUAGAUUCGGUCUAAGUUGGAACAUUCAGAACUGUUUUUUUUUUUUUUUUUUUGAAAUAGGGAGUUGGGGGAGUCGAAUCUUAGACCUUUUCAAGACUACAGGAUGCACUUUUCAUCAGGUUAAGUCUUAGAGUGCGAACAUUCAGAACUGUUAUCAUCACAAUUAAUAAAUAUAUAUAUAUAUAUUUUAAUGUGUAAAGUUCAAUGGUUUAAUUUUUAUAUUUUGACCAUCAAACUAAAAAUAAUUUUCCAUCGAUUAUACAUUAAUUUUUUAAAAAAUUAUCAAAUAAAGACAAAUUACUAUGUUUUUUCUUAAAUUAUAUUAAAAUUAUCACAUAAUAUUAUUUGAUUUUCUAAAAGUUAUUAGUUUAGUUCCUAUUUUUUACUUAUCAAAUUGAAAAUUAUAUAUUUUUUGAUAAUACGAAUGGAAAGAUUUUUAAUUUAUCGAAAUUAAAAUAUUUAAAUUAAAUUAUUAAAUUUAAAAAAUAAAUAUUUCCAAUUUUUUGAAUUUAUUCUCCUUUCUUUUUUGAAAGGCUGGAUUUUGUUUCUCUGACACUCUCCCUUACUUUUUAGUGUGUGAGAUUCGUUGAUUUUGAUUACUCAACUAUGGGUCUAUGCUCUCUAUUCAAAGUGGAUAUUUUGUUUAAGUCUUGCGUGUUUAAUUUCCUUUUUUUCUUCUUUCAUAUCUAAACUUAAUAUGACAAUAACAUCUUCUAAAUAUUUGAAGAUGACAAAAGGAAACUUCUAAAGUUAUGGAGAUAAUGUACUUUUUGGUAAGGAUUUAAUAGGACAGCUCCCCAGUCUUUGCCACUAUGCCAAUGAUCUGUCUAUUCAAAGGCUAAAAGAGGUUAAGGCGCUGCAAGCUCUACCUUGUUGCCUCCUGAAGCCAUACUUUCUUAAGUUUAAAGCCUAAAACUUUGUAUAUCAUUAACUAUUUCUUUGUCUUUGUGUAUCAUUAACUAUUUCUUUGUUAUUUUUUUGAGUUUUGGUUUUAGAUAUACAACUUAUAAAAAGCACCUUGCUAGUGGUCUUGUAAUGUACUUUGCAUUUUUUUUUUUUUUUAAAAAAAAAACCCUAUCAAUUUGUUUCAAUUUUUAACUGAUAUGAUCAACAACUUUUUUGACUAGGGAUGAUGGAAUUUGCUAUUGAGUUGAGAAAUGUAUGGCUAGAGAUUUUCAAUGCCAAAAUGAUGGAGAUUGAAGAGGCACUCUAAAUAAAAGAAAGUACUUUGAAAAAUAGUAGUCAAGUAUCUCACCAUCCAUACCCUUUUCCAAUGGUAGUGAUUGCUUUUUUUUUUUUUUUGGGCUUGCUAGUAUUGCCAUAAAUAAUGGGAUGUUGUCUCUUUCAAUCAUAAACUGAGAUUCAAGCAACCCUUUUCUUUUCACAACUUGUUCCUUCUUCCCUGCUGCUCUGAUCAUACUUUCAAUUAUUUCCUGCAACUUCUCAACAAUUUUCUUUCCCUACUUGACUCAUUUUAACUACCCUUUUCAUUGUCCUUUUUAUAUUUUAACUUUUUAGCAAAUUUUCAACUUAAAUGGAAUUAAAUGUCUAAAAAAAUAUUUAAAUCAUUAAUUUUCGUAUGAGUUAGGAGUUCUCCGUUAUUUUAUUAUUAUUAUUAUUAUUUUUGAGAACGAAGGAGUUUUCCAUUAUCUUGCACAUUUUAGGAAUGCUUUUGAUUCAUCUUAGUUAAGAUAUUCACUGAACUAAAUCUAACUGGAAUCUUUGGGACCAGACGUUUGUACUAAAGAAAAAUAAAGGGAUGUACAUGUGCCUCAAGGCAUGUGCAGCAUCCUAGAUAAGUUCUAUACCCAUUGGUCCUAAGUCAUUUUCCCUAUCAACUGCUCUUCAACCUCCAAUGUUUUGGCAUUGGUCGCCUGCUCUGACACAUCAUCAAUGACUCUAACCCACCAACAUAUAUUAUUAUUAUUAUUAUUUCAAAUCUCUUGCAUAAUUAUUGAUAGGCUGGUCUGGGUGAUCGGGCGGUGACCGGAAUGCAGAUUACAGAUGGCCGGAUGCUGAAGCCCUGAAGGUCUUCCAGAUUAGAAUAAGAAGAAUAAAAUAUUACCCAUUUCAACAAGGAAAUUGCAUCAGCAAAAGCUUGCUCUGCCGUGUGCUGCGCGAAGCAAAAGUUUAACAAGACCAGACACAGAGAGAGUCGUCUAUCAAGAACCUUCAUAAAACGACAUGCUUACAUUGGAUUCACAUACUGUGGCAGCUUAAAUUUUCAAUUUCCAAACCCCACCAAUUAUAUAUUAUAAUUGUUAUUUAUUUGUUGAAAUUUUUAUUUUUAUUUUUAUUUUAUUUUCCAGUGCACCCACCCACCACUGUGUUUUUUUAUUUAUUUAUCCCUCCACUCUUGUUUUGUGUUGUGUCCCCAUGUAAAAAAGAGUAAAAACCCCACAGCAUAUCCUCCUUUUUAUUCAGUUUUUUCCUUCUUCUUCUGCUUCUUCGUCAACCAUGUCCUCUAUACUCUGCUCACAAGGAGUGGUUCUGGCCACUGCCAUGGCUGUUUCUGGCACCGUAAUUCUCCUCGCUCUUCGCCUUCAAAAAUCUCACCCUGCCUCCCUCUUAUCUUCGCAGCAAGUUCUACGCUCCUGUAUCUCCUCAGGUACACCAAACAAUAAAUCUCUUUGCAUAUCUACAUAUACAUACAUAAUUGUUCUUGAAAUUUGGUUUUCGUUUUAUUUAUGUAUUUAAUUUUUUGGUGGGAAAUGAAGACGGGAGCAAAAAGAAGAAGAAGAAGAGGGUGCACUUUGCAGAGGAUGUGGUGGAUCCAAAAGGAAACGGAGAAGAUUUCAGACGGCAGCGUGGUGCCAUUGUUCUCAGCAAGAAUUCAUCGUCUCCACCAAAGUUGAAGAAGAUAGGUGGUGCCGGAGGUGGUGGCAGCGGUGCUGCUAAAGGCAAAGGAAUGCCUGCAAAUAGAUUGGCUCUCUACAAUGGGAUCCUGAGGGAUCGUGUGGUUCACCGAUUGGCCUAUUCUUGUUAACCGAUUAGCUUUGUGUAUAAUAUUUUCGUGUAAAUAAUCUUCUCUUUUUUUUUUUUAAUUACUAAUUUGGAAGGAGGAAAUGGCCCUCAGUCCUUGAAGACUGUGCCUGUGGCUUUUUCUGAUCAUCAACUAAUUGGUGAUGGCUGUAAAUCCUGUUGGUAUUAGCAGAGGAUGUUGUCCGUAAUUUUUUAGGGUAAUCUAAUAGAAAUUGUUCAUAAGUUACAUCAAUAUCAAUAAUUCUGACUUUUUUAUGACUUUUUUCUCUGAUAUUUUUGUCUUAAUAUCACUUAUCUAAAUCAAGAAAUCUGUAGAAUUCAGCACUAAUCAAUAAUUUAACUGUCCAUCACUAACUAUACUCCAAAUUUGGAAGAAAAUUAAUCGAGUAUUUACCAUCAAACCAAUAAAAAUUUUUCAUAAAUCCCAUAAAAAUAAAGAUAAGUUUAUUUUUAUUUUAUAUUAUUUUAAAAAAUAUAAUUUCUUUAUACUAUUCAAUGUAUUUCGUACUCGUAACUCAAAUUUAAUAUUUUUUUAUAUUAUUUCAUUUCACCAGUUUAGUAAAAAAUAUAAUUAAUAUAACUAUGGAUAAGUAACCGUGAAUCAGCAAUAGCACCUACCUCUUUUUUCCUUUAUUUGAUUUUAAUACUAUCUUAUUACCUUUUUCAAUAAUACAUAUGCUAUUUUUAUGAAGUUUUUUAAUUUUUAUUUUUCUUCCUCUAUCUAAAUUUAAUUUCCCUGUGUUACUAUUUUCUUUUUCUUUGUGGAUUUUAUUUUUCAUAUUUUCAAUGAGAAGGUGUUUGUUGGAUUUAUAUUUUUAUUGAUCAAACAUAAAAUUUCUUUCACAUAAUAAAAUGCAAAUUUAUUAAUAGUGAGUUAUUAUUUUAAUUUUUUAUUAAAGUAAAUUUUUUUUAGGGAAAGCAGGUAGAUUUAUUGUUUUUAUCAAUAUUAAGGAGUAAGUUAAUGAUAAAAUAUCAAGGUACAUGAAUUUAAAUUUGUCUAUUUUAAUUAAAAUAUGCUGAAUUUAUAUUUUAUUAUAAAUAAAGCUAAAUGUUUGAACGUGUAUGAUGGUAAUUUCGUUUUAAUUGAAAAUUAAAAUUAAAAAAAUAAAAUUUAAAAUAUUUUAAAUUUAUUUAUAUAUAUUUAUUAUCAAAUUAAAUCUGGUAAGACAUAUAUUGUAUUGUAUGUAUGAAGUUGCAAGAACCUCAAGGAACAAAGAUGCCCCUAAGGGAGUUGGUUUAAGUGACCUUUGAGAGGCAUGAAGCAGCCUAAUGUAGACUUGAGUCUCAAUUCCUACAUAUUAUAAACAAAGGCAUGUGCAAGGAUGCUUCCUUUGUCAGUCUCAGUAGCCCAUACAUCCACACGCUUUCACAGGUUUUUUUAAUCAGAAAAAAAAAAAAAAAAAAACAAAAAAGCUCGAACUCGUCUUCCUUCCUUCAGAAUUUGACAACCACAUGAUCAUCCAGUGGGAUUUUUUUUCUCUCUGUAAUUAAUUGCUGGAUUAAUUUAACCAUGGUUGAUUAAGGCCCUCAAAUUUUCAUGAUUUUAUCUAUUGAGAAUCAUAACAAAUUAAAAAAAAUUUUAAAAAAGUAAUUUUUUAAUAAUAAAAAAAAGUAAAGAAGGGCUGAGGCAGAGUGUGAUGAGCAAUAAUUGGAGAGAAGAAAACGCAUAGAAGAGAGGAUGGGCAACUGAAAAUUCUUGGUUUUGGAGCAGAAGAAGAAUCUUUCAUAUCUAUCAGAUAUCAGCAACUGUGUCUUUUAAUUUUAAAUCUUUUAUCUGCUUUCUGCCUUUAAAAAAAUGCCAUUUAUUUUUCUUUUGUAAUAUUUUUAUUUUAUAAAAAUAAAUUUAUAGUUUUUUAUAUUAAUUAAAAAUAGUUGCCUUUUUUCCCAAAAAUAAAAAUAAAAUCUGAGUUCUGGAGUGGGCAAGCUCAGGAAUGUUGAAAAUUGAUUAGCCAGAUUUUGACCAGUUUUUAUUUUAAUUAUUUUAGUUUAAUUUUAAUUUUUAUCAGAAAAAUCAAUAAAAUUGAACUCUAUUGAGUCAAUUGCAAAAUUAUUGCUCGACAAAGCUUUCUCAUAGUAUUAUUAAUUAUAAAGUGUUAUCCUUUUUCCCAAAAGCAAGCAUAAAGAUGCCAGUUUUUCAUUGGUUCGGUUGUCAAUUAUGUUAGAUUGAUUAUGUAAUCCACGUUCUUAAUCACCAUAAGAUACUAGUAAUGACUUCAUUAUAAUUUUUUAAUCCUUUCAGUUUCUUAAAUGGUAAUUAAAAAUAAGUGAUAGAAGAUAAGGAUUAGUGCUAAUCUUUUUAAUUAAGACUAAUCAAAUGCUUAAUGACGUUUGAUUGAUUUGCCAUAGGUUAAAUGUUGGAACAUCCCUAACAUGAAUCUUUCUUAUAUAAUUAAGGAUUAGAUUGCAAAAGUUGCACUCCUUUCUUUGUAUUUGGCAUUAAAAAUAUGUAUUUUUUAUUUUAAAUUAAAAAUUUUAUAGAGAUUUAAUUUAAUUAAUUUUUUUAUUUAUAAAAAAUUAAUUUUUUAAUUCGAAAUUUUUAUUUAAAAAUAAUUUAAAAUUUUUAUAUAAAAUAAAUAGUUUCAGAUGAAAUCUUUUAAUACAGAAUUGUAAAAGCGUUUGAUUCAACGACGGGUGAGCAGUAUUCGGUUUAAAUCGAAAAAUUGAUUGAAUCGAAUCGAUUUGAAAAUUUAGUUUGGUUUUUUAUAUAUUUUGGUUUGGUUCGGUUUUUAAUUUCAGAAAUUUCGGUUAUUUCGGUUCGGUUUGAUUUUGAUUAGAAAAAACCGAAAAAAUCAAACCGAACCGAUUAGUGAUAAUAAUAUAUUUUUUCAAUAAUAUAGAGAAAUUAAAUCAUAUUAAAAUUAAAAUAUUUUAAUUAAAUUUUAAAAUAUUAAAAAUAAAGUGUAAAAAAUAAAAAAAUUAUUAAAAAUCGAAACCGAUCAAACCGAACCGAAUCGAACCGAAUCAGACCGGUUCGGUUCGGUUCGGUUUCUGACCAAAAUCGGUUCGGUUCGGUUUUCAUAAACACUACAAUUUCGAUUUUCGGUUUAUUCGAUUCGGUUCGAUUUUAAACCGAACCGACCGAAUGCUCACCCCUAGAUUUAACUGUUGGUUAAUACUAAUAACCGAUAAAUAACAAAAUAAUUGAAUUUAAGUUUUAGUAAAAUUUUUAAAUAGUAGCUGAUAAUUUUAUAUAUUUUUUAUAAAAAAAUAAAUUGAUACAUAUUAUUAUUAUUAUUAUUCAUUUUUCAUAUAAUAAUAAUAUAUAAAAAUAAAAUAAAAUUCAUUAGCGACGAUACAAAUUCAUUAGAGAUAAGAAAGUUGGUUGGGAUUUUUUAGUUAUUUAAAAUAAAUUACCAAUCAAGCUUACGUUUAUUGUAAAUCUUCUUUAACCUUUUCUAAUAACUUUGGUAUCUUAGUUGUUAUCCCUUAUGCAUGGCUUGCGUAUUAUGUUUUUUUUCUUUUAAUUUUCACCUAACUUAUUAAUAUAAAAUUUAUAAAUAUAUUUAUUAGUAUAACAGUUUUCUGAUUUAAUAAUAAAUUUUUGUUUCUCGCUACUAAUUUAAUAUUUAUAAUUUUAUAACCGAUUAACAAUAAUAUUUUUUAAAUAAAAAUCGAGAAUUGAAAAAAUAAAAUUUGAGAUCUCACAGACUUAUUCAUAUGUAUUUAUUAUCGGAUUAAACAUAUGAGUACUGAUUAAUAAUGAUUUAUAAUUUAUUAUUAAUUUAAUUAAAAUUAAAAAAUUAUUUAAAAAUAAACUUAUUCUGGAUUAUAAUUUUGUUACUAUUUUGUUUGUUGAUAAGUACAAAAUGUUUUUAUUUUUUCCUAAAGAUAUAUACCUUUAUAAAUUUUUAUAUAAUAAGUAGAAAUUAAAAUUAAAAAUUAUAUUUAAGUAAAUUGUGAUUAUUAAACUACUUUUAUAGAGACUCUCUAUGUAUGCAGAUAUGAAAAUAUUACUCUCUUUUAUAAUCAUUAUCCUAUCCUAUUGUAUCAAAAUUAUUAUCUAUUUUUUUUAUAUUAUAAUACUAGGUAAAUUGAUUAUUAUAAUUUUAUUUUAUUUUAUUUUUAAAAAAUCUUUCAAAAUCUUCUUUAAUAUUUAAUUUAAAAUAGUAUAAUUAAAAAAUUGGUUAAAAAAAUUAUAUUUUUUAAUAUAUAUAAAAAAAAAAUUAUGAGAUAGCAUAUGAUUUUGCUGUUUUAUUAGUUGGGUUAAGGUUUUUGAAAUGGAAAUAUAAAAUUUAGAGAAUAAGAAAUCUCUCAAAUUUAUUAGGAUAUACUUAUUAUUAGUAAGUCUGGGAGUGCAAUUUAUACUUAUAUUAUUUAUCCUUAUGACCAUAUUAUAAUGCAUUUUCAUAAAAAAUAAAAUUGAAUUUAAUUUAAUUUAAUUUAAAUAAAUAUAUAUUUUAAUAAAUAAAUAAUUUAAUAUUUUUAUUUGUUAAAUGAAAUUGAGAAUUUUUUUUUAUAAAUAAUGUAAGAUAUAUAUAAUUAUAGAAAAGAUAUGCUUCAAUUUAACUUUAUUUAUUUAUCACUUAAUUAUUACCAUUUCAUUCAAUUCAAUUUAAAAUUAAAUUAAUCCAUUUAAUCUAUUAAUAUUAUUGUUUUAGAACAUAUCUUAUCGUUAAUUUGUACACAUAAGGGAUAUAUUUAUAAAAGUAUUUUUUUUAGAAUCAAUUAAAAAAAUACUUUUAGUAAAUUAUAAACACAUUAUUUUAGCUUUUUAACUAAUAAAAAAUAUAUAUUCAAAAUUUUAUUUUUUUAUAAUUAAUUUAAUUGAAUUUAAACUCGUUAACUCGCAAAUCGAAAUCAAUUUUAUACUAAAAAAAAUUUUAAAUUUCACAGUUAUUCUUUUAACAACAGAAUGGUGUUUUAUUCACUUCAUUUAUUUAUGUCUAAUUUAAUUAUAUUUACAAGAGUGGAUUAUUAUUUAUCCAUUUAGAUUCACUUAUAAUUUCUAUUAGAUUUUAUUAUUUAAAUAUCAAAUUAAUAAGUAUUUUUAAUACUUGAUUUCAUAAAUAAUUUGUUAUUAUUAUUUUUAUUAAUCAACCAUUAAAAAUUGACGAAGCUAACUUUUGUUUAAAAAAAUAAUUUAAAAAAUUCAAAACAAUUAUUAUUUUUUGCAUUUUACGUGAAUUUUAAAUUAUUUUUACAACCAAUUAAUGAAAAAGUCGUGAGAGGAUUAUUGAUUGAUUAUUCGCUUUUAAAAUAUAUAUUCACCCAAAAGAAAUCAUUAAUACAGAAAAUGUUUGAAACAUGUCACGCUUUAACCGGUUGAGUACUGUGUCUUAUCCUAGGCUGAGUAGCUUCCAACCAUAACCUCCCUAUAUAAUCCCUAAGGCCAAAACCCUACGCUUUCUCUCCCUCUCCUCUGCGAAUGAUCUCGAGCACUCUCAUUUCUCACUCUCAAUCCUUCACUGUCGAUUUGAAGACGCUUCUACAGAUCAGCACCUGACGCCACAACGAUUCUCGGCCCAAAUUUGGUUAGUUAACUCUCAUUUUCUCCCCGGUCUAUUUCGUGAUGAUCUGCGUUGUACUUCAGUUCUAAUUUUAGUUUUAGUUGGCUGAUUUUAUCAUUAUUAUUACUAUUAUUUUUUAAUUUCAGUUCAAAAUUUUCUAGUGUUGGAAAACUAGAUAUCUCAGAAUUCUAUACUUGCUGUUCUUGGUCCGUUCUCAAUUAAAUCAGUUAAUUCUCGAGUGCAGAGUUGAAUGUAUUGCUAAUUACAUUUGUAUUCAGAAUUUCUUUGUUAAUAGAUUUAAGUUGUUCUUAUCAUCCCUAAGUCAUUGGCAAAAAAUUCGUAAACCAUUUAAAAGCAUCAGUUUACAUCAUUGACUCCUGGAAACUUUUUUAAACUGACUGUUGAAACUGGGACUUGGUGGGAUAUGCCCUCUAAUUGAUGAGAGAAGAUUCUAAACCCUUUUCUGGGAUUUCAAUGGUAGCUUGUUACAUGGAGAGCUAUCAGCUGUCUACGUAUAGUGUAGAAAAGAGGUGAUUGCAUCACAAUAUAUUUCUUUCGGAUUCUUACUUUUGCCCUUGCAGAAGUUCUGUUAUAAUCAUUCUUAUUCAAUUAUGUGAGUUUGCAUUUAAUGAAUUUUUUUUCUCCUUCAGUAGCCAUGAAGGUGCGAUCAUCUGUGAAGAAGAUGUGCGAGUUCUGUCAGAUUAUCAAACGCCGGGGUCGUGUAUAUGUCAUUUGUAGUUCCAAUCCUAAGCACAAGCAACGGCAAGGCAUUUCAACAUUUGCAUAUGAAGGAUCCGUGUAAGCUAUAUAACUCCUCCACCUCUCUCUCUCUCUCUCUCACACACACACACACGAAUGCUCAUAUACACUGUUUCUGUUUGCCGUCAUCUUUAGUUGCAUUUUGGUUUGUGCCAUGGACUAAAAAGUAUCUUCAGAAGUGGGUAUUGUUCGAGUUUAAAGUAUUAUACAGAUUUCCUGCAAGGGAAAAAAAAAGAAGAGAGAGGGAGAGAGUGAGAGAUGAACACUGGUUUUUCGUUUUCCUGUAAAAGUGAAGUCAGAAUUAAUGGCUAAAUAUUUUUCUCACUAGGUGAUUGGCAGAUUUUGGACAAUCAGUCCCGUUGAUUCUUUUCUACAAACUCAACAAGUGGUUGUUGAAGAAGAACAAAACAGCCAUAAAUAAAUUAUC
Molecule: long non-coding RNA, 11980 nt
Filed under: Manihot esculenta (cassava)
Lineage: Eukaryota; Viridiplantae; Streptophyta; Magnoliopsida; Malpighiales; Euphorbiaceae
Description: long non-coding RNA (MESC_LNC008484)
Source: RNAcentral